CUGAUUUCAUUUGGUGACGUAGA
This 23-nucleotide microRNA is filed under the name Oreochromis niloticus (Nile tilapia). Its description in RNAcentral is "oni-miR-29c". Its record names the gene oni-miR-29c. RNAcentral also lists the same sequence under 1 other name. Lineage: Eukaryota; Metazoa; Chordata; Actinopteri; Cichliformes; Cichlidae. The record is from miRBase by way of RNAcentral.